This 710-nucleotide ribosomal RNA is filed under the name uncultured fungus. Its description in RNAcentral is "SSU rRNA". It matches the Rfam family "Eukaryotic small subunit ribosomal RNA", at positions 826 to 1555 of the family's 1831-position model. Lineage: Eukaryota; Fungi. The record is from RNAcentral.
ACGUGUGGUUCUAUUUUGUUGGUUUCUAGAGUCGCCGUAAUGAUUAAUAGGGAUAGUUGGGGGCAUUGGUAUUGAGUCGCUAGAGGUGAAAUUCUUGGAUUGACUCAAGACCAACUAUUGCGAAAGCAUUUGCCAAGGAUGUUUUCAUUAAUCAAGAACGAAGGUUAGGGGAUCGAAAACGAUCAGAUACCGUUGUAGUCUUAACAGUAAACUAUGCCGACUAGGGAUUGGGCAACCUCAAUUAUGAUGUGUUGCUCAGCACCUUACGAGAAAUCAAAGUCUUCGGGUUCUGGGGGGUGUAUGGUCGCAAGGCUGAAACUUAAAGGAAUUGACGGAGGGGCACCACCAGGUGUGGAGCCUGCGGCUUAAUUUGACUCAACACGGGGAAACUCACCAGGUCCAGACAUAACUAGGAUUGACAGAUUGAUAGCUCUUUCAUGAUUUUAUGGGUGGUGGUGCAUGGCCGUUCUUAGUUGGUGGAGUGAUUUGUCUGGUUAAUUCCGAUAACGAACGAGACCUUAACCUGCUAAAUAGCCAGGCCGGCUUUUGCUGGUCGCCGGCUUCUUAGAGGGACUGUCAGCGUCUAGCUGACGGAAGUUUGAGGCAAUAACAGGUCUGUGAUGCCCUUAGAUGUUCUGGGCCGCACGCGCGCUACACUGACAGAGCCAGCGAGUUAUUUCACCUAGGCCGGAAGGUCCGGGUAAUCUUGU